This 253-nucleotide ribosomal RNA is filed under the name uncultured bacterium. RNAcentral describes it as "partial 16S ribosomal RNA". It matches the Rfam family "Bacterial small subunit ribosomal RNA", at positions 524 to 776 of the family's 1533-position model. The record is from RNAcentral.
UACGGGGGGGGCAAGCGUUGUUCGGAAUUACUGGGCGUAAAGGGCUCGUAGGCGGCCAACUAAGUCGGAUGUGAAAUCCCCAGGCUUAACCUGGGAACUGCAUCCGAUACUGGAUGGCUUGAAUCCGGGAGAGGGAUGCAGAAUUCCAGGUGUAGCGGUGAAAUGCGUAGAUAUCUGGAGGAAUACCGGUGGCGAAGGCGGCAUCCUGGACCGGCAUUGACGCUGAGGAGCGAAAGUUAGGGGAGCAAACGGG